RNAcentral lists this ribosomal RNA (626 nucleotides) under uncultured bacterium. RNAcentral describes it as "bacterial SSU rRNA". It matches the Rfam family "Bacterial small subunit ribosomal RNA", at positions 8 to 677 of the family's 1533-position model. The record is from RNAcentral.
AGAGUUUGAUCCUGGCUCAGGAUGAACGCUGGCGGCGUGCUUAACACAUGCAAGUCGAACGGACUCUUCGGAGUUAGUGGCGGACGGGUGAGUAACGCGUGAGAAUCUGGCUUCAGGAGGGGGACAACAGUUGGAAACGACCGCUAAUACCCCAUAUGCCUAAGGGUGAAAGGAGCAAUCCGCCUGAAGAUGAGCUCGCGUCCGAUUAGCUAGUUGGUGAGGUAAGAGCUUACCAAGGCGACGAUCGGUAGCUGGUCUGAGAGGAUGAUCAGCCACACUGGGACUGAGACACGGCCCAGACUCCUACGGGAGGCAGCAGUGGGGAAUUUUCCGCAAUGGGGGCAACCCUGACGGAGCAACGCCGCGUGCGGGAAGACGGCCUGUGGGUUGUAAACCGCUUUUCUCAGGGAAGAAGAACUGACGGUACCUGAGGAAUCAGCAUCGGCUAACUCCGUGCCAGCAGCCGCGGUAAUACGGAGGAUGCAAGCGUUAUCCGGAAUUAUUGGGCGUAAAGCGUCCGCAGGCGGCUUUUCAAGUCUGCUGUUAAAGGUCGAGGCUCAACUCCGGUUCGGCAGUGGAAACUGAAAGGCUAGAGUGCAGUAGGGGUAGAGGGAAUUCCCAGUGUA